This 253-nucleotide ribosomal RNA is filed under the name uncultured bacterium. RNAcentral's name for it is "partial 16S ribosomal RNA". It matches the Rfam family "Bacterial small subunit ribosomal RNA", at positions 524 to 776 of the family's 1533-position model. The record is from RNAcentral.
UACGAAGGGGGCUAGCGUUGCUCGGAAUUACUGGGCGUAAAGCGCACGUAGGCGGAUUGUUAAGUCGGGGGUGAAAUCCUGGAGCUCAACUCCAGAACUGCCUUCGAUACUGGCGAUCUCGAGUUCGGGAGAGGUGAGUGGAACUGCGAGUGUAGAGGUGAAAUUCGUAGAUAUUCGCAAGAACACCAGUGGCGAAGGCGGCUCACUGGCCCGUAACUGACGCUGAGGCACGAAAGCGUGGGGAGCAAACAGG